RNAcentral lists this long non-coding RNA (1244 nucleotides) under Cricetulus griseus (Chinese hamster). Its description in RNAcentral is "lncRNA (ENSCGRG00015034302.1)". Lineage: Eukaryota; Metazoa; Chordata; Mammalia; Rodentia; Cricetidae. The record is from RNAcentral.
GGGGUAUGGUUCAGUGCUUAGCUGUGGGUGCCUGUUUCUGCUUCGAACUGGAUGAAGGCUCUAGGAAUGGUAACCAAGGUGGAGAGCAUCCUGAGGAAGGAGCGCUUCCUGUCUCCUUACCGGAACCCUGCCUGCAUGACCUAUCACCUCCCUCCUCAUCUCCCAAUACCAGCACACUGGGAGACAGGAUUUCAGCAGAGGAAGUUUCUGGGGACAUAAAUAGUCAUUCCUUUUCAGCACUCCCUCAGUCUGAACAGCUCAUAAAACCCCAAGAAGCCUUUACUUUCCCUUCUCCAGCAUAAUCUACCAUAACAUCUAUUCCCUGAAGAGCCAGGGCUUUUGUAUCAAUUAGGUAGGAAGGAUGCUGUCUUUUCCGCAUGGCAAAUUUGCCUUUGCUCAAAAGCAAAGAUGCAGCUGCUGUCUUGACCUUGGCACGGGAAGCCAAACACAAAGUGGGGGAAAUGGCACAUAUCCACAGAUAUCAUAUCCUGGCUACUGCUGCUUGCAAACUGUGUGGCUUAAGAUGUGGGGAUGAUGUGAACAUCUGCCUUCGGACUUCUUAGGGUUAUUCUGAGUAUUAAGUGUGUCAGACAGAGUCAGAGCUGUUUGGAACAGGGCUACAGGAGUGCUAACUGUUGCUCUGAGCUGCUAAUGCUGCCGCUUUUGCUUUGCACUCUGCACAGUGAGAUUCGUCACCUGCGGAGCCUCUGAAGCCAGUACUUAGGGUAAGCAUCUUGUGUAGCCAGAAUCACCUCUGAAUUCUGUUGGAGGCUCACCAUCAUAUUUCUUAAUAAGUCCGACCCAGGCAGUUUUCCUGCCAGCAUUAAAUCCAAUUGUGCUGUCAUGGUUUGAGCACUAGAUGAAGGGGCUGCCUGCAGAUUUAUGCCCCCACUCACAGCGCACCUGGGACAGGCACUCCUUUAGUGAAAAACUGCAGAAUCAUCCACACCAUUUAAUUUAUUCUCCCUGUCCCUUUCUCUUAGUUAAACUCAUAUAAGUUAAAGUGGAAUGGGCUUCCCAAAGCCAAAAGUUCACCCUAGACUGAGAAUCGCUGGGUAGGAAAUCGAAGUCUCUUAUAUUCCAUAGGCCUUUUAUGGUGAUGGGCUUUUUCUAUUCCGUGGGUCCUCCAUAGUGGUGGUUUCGGACACAUAUGUGAGUGAAAGUUCAAAGUUCAAAACACAUCAAUGAUGCCCAUGAAGACAAAUCAUGUUUCUCCACUCACAUAAAAUAAUAAUAAACAGUUG